GGUGGGUGUCAGUCUAACCAUG
RNAcentral lists this microRNA (22 nucleotides) under Eisenia fetida (common brandling worm). Lineage: Eukaryota; Metazoa; Annelida; Clitellata; Crassiclitellata; Lumbricidae. The record is from RNAcentral.